AGGUCCGUUGGUCAAGGGGUUAAGACACCGCCUUUUCACGGCGGUAACACGGGUUCGAAUCCCGUACGGACCUG
RNAcentral lists this transfer RNA (74 nucleotides) under Streptococcus pneumoniae. RNAcentral describes it as "tRNA-Glu(ttc)". It matches the Rfam family "tRNA". Rfam says of the family: Transfer RNA (tRNA) molecules are approximately 80 nucleotides in length. Their secondary structure includes four short double-helical elements and three loops (D, anti-codon, and T loops). Lineage: Bacteria; Bacillati; Bacillota; Bacilli; Lactobacillales; Streptococcaceae. The record is from RNAcentral.